RNAcentral lists this ribosomal RNA (851 nucleotides) under uncultured marine group I thaumarchaeote. RNAcentral describes it as "bacterial SSU rRNA". It matches the Rfam family "Archaeal small subunit ribosomal RNA", at positions 11 to 866 of the family's 1478-position model. The record is from RNAcentral. Lineage: Archaea; Thermoproteati; Nitrososphaerota.
UAGCUGCCGGACCUGACUGGAAUCGGAUUGAUACUAAGCCAUGCGAGUCUUUGCAGUAAUGCAAGGCAUACGGCUCAGUAACACGUAGUCAACUUACCCUAUGGACGAGGAUAAUCUCGGGAAACUGAGCAUAAUACUCGAUAGAUCAUAAUGCCUGGAAUGGUUUAUGGUUAAAAUGAUUCGUCGCCAUAGGAUGGGACUGCGGCCUAUCAGCUUGUUUGUGAAGUAAUGGCCCACCAAGGCGAUUACAGGUACGGGCUCUGAGAGGAGAAGCCCGGAGAUGGGUACUGAGACAAGGACCCAGGCCCUAUGGGGCGCAGCAGGCGAGAAAACUUUGCAAUGUGCGAAAGCACGACAAGGUUAAUCCGAGUGAUUUCUGCUAAAGAAAUCGCCUGCAAGUCAUAUAAACCACUAGUGAAUAAGGGGUGGGCAAGUUCUGGUGUCAGCCGCCGCGGUAAAACCAGCACCUCAAGUGGUCAGGAGGAUUAUUGGGCGUAAAGCAUCCGUAGCCGGCUCUGUAAGUUUGCGGUUAAAUCCAUGUGCUCAUCACAUGGGCUGCCGAAAAUACUGCGUAGCUAGGGAGUGGGAGAGGUAGACGGUACUCGGUAGGAAGGGGUAAAAUCCUUUGAUCUAUCGAUGACCACCUGUGGCGAAGGACGGUCUACCAGAACACGUUCGACGGUGAGGGAUGAAAGCUGGGGGAGCAAACCGGAUUAGAUACCCGGGUAGUCCCAGCUGUAAACGCUGCAGACUCGAUGAUGCAUUGGCAUAUAGCCAGUGCAGUGUCGCAGGGAAGUUGUUAAGUCUGCCGCCUGGGAAGUACGUACGCAAGUAUGAAACUUGGAGGCCCG